GAGUUUGAUCAUGGCUCAGAUUGAACGCUGGCGGCAUGCCUUACACAUGCAAGUCGAACGGCAGCAUGAUCUAGCUUGCUAGAUUGAUGGCGAGUGGCGAACGGGUGAGUAAUACAUCGGAACGUGCCCUGUAGUGGGGGAUAACUAGUCGAAAGAUUAGCUAAUACCGCAUACGACCUGAGGGUGAAAGUGGGGGACCGCAAGGCCUCAUGCUAUAGGAGCGGCCGAUGUCUGAUUAGCUAGUUGGUGGGGUAAAGGCCCACCAAGGCGACGAUCAGUAGCUGGUCUGAGAGGACGAUCAGCCACACUGGGACUGAGACACGGCCCAGACUCCUACGGGAGGCAGCAGUGGGGAAUUUUGGACAAUGGGGGCAACCCUGAUCCAGCAAUGCCGCGUGUGUGAAGAAGGCCUUCGGGUUGUAAAGCACUUUUGUCCGGAAAGAAAUCGCACUUACUAAUAUUAGGUGUGGAUGACGGUACCGGAAGAAUAAGGACCGGCUAACUACGUGCCAGCAGCCGCGGUAAUACGUAGGGUCCAAGCGUUAAUCGGAAUUACUGGGCGUAAAGCGUGCGCAGGCGGUUGUGCAAGACCGAUGUGAAAUCCCCGGGCUUAACCUGGGAAUUGCAUUGGUGACUGCACGGCUAGAGUGUGUCAGAGGGGGGUAGAAUUCCACGUGUAGCAGUGAAAUGCGUAGAGAUGUGGAGGAAUACCGAUGGCGAAGGCAGCCCCCUGGGAUAACACUGACGCUCAUGCACGAAAGCGUGGGGAGCAAACAGGAUUAGAUACCCUGGUAGUCCACGCCCUAAACGAUGUCAACUAGUUGUUGGGGAUUCAUUUCCUUAGUAACGUAGCUAACGCGUGAAGUUGACCGCCUGGGGAGUACGGUCGCAAGAUUAAAACUCAAAGGAAUUGACGGGGACCCGCACAAGCGGUGGAUGAUGUGGAUUAAUUCGAUGCAACGCGAAAAACCUUACUUACCCUUGACAUGCCACUAACGAAGCAGAGAUGCAUUAGGUGCUCGAAAGAGAAAGUGGACACAGGUGCUGCAUGGCUGUCGUCAGCUCGUGUCGUGAGAUGUUGGGUUAAGUCCCGCAACGAGCGCAACCCUUGUCUCUAGUUGCUACGAAAGGGCACUCUAGAGAGACUGCCGGUGACAAACCGGAGGAAGGUGGGGAUGACGUCAAGUCCUCAUGGCCCUUAUGGGUAGGGCUUCACACGUCAUACAAUGGUGCAUACAGAGGGUUGCCAAGCCGCGAGGUGGAGCUAAUCCCAGAAAAUGCAUCGUAGUCCGGAUCGUAGUCUGCAACUCGACUACGUGAAGCUGGAAUCGCUAGUAAUCGCGGAUCAGCAUGCCGCGGUGAAUACGU
RNAcentral lists this ribosomal RNA (1368 nucleotides) under unidentified marine bacterioplankton. RNAcentral describes it as "bacterial SSU rRNA". It matches the Rfam family "Bacterial small subunit ribosomal RNA", at positions 9 to 1371 of the family's 1533-position model. The record is from RNAcentral.